Molecule: non-coding RNA, 29 nt
Filed under: Mus musculus (house mouse)
Lineage: Eukaryota; Metazoa; Chordata; Mammalia; Rodentia; Muridae
Source: RNAcentral
UAAUCCAGACCUUUUGAGAUGUGAAGAUC